RNAcentral lists this long non-coding RNA (408 nucleotides) under Manihot esculenta (cassava). Its description in RNAcentral is "long non-coding RNA (MESC_LNC003562)". Lineage: Eukaryota; Viridiplantae; Streptophyta; Magnoliopsida; Malpighiales; Euphorbiaceae. The record is from RNAcentral.
GGUCCAUUGGUUUUGGUUCAUCUGUAAUGGAAGUUGCAGAACUCUCUCCACCAGGUAAUUUAGGAAAAGGGAGCAACAAUCUUUUUGUUCCAGGAAAAAAUACAUGCAGAUUUAUUUCACUUGCAUAGAGUGUCUCAUAUGUUUCAGCUUUGUGGGGUCCUGAAGAAGUAUAUGAAAAAAGCUUCUUGCCCUUGUUAGUGGGGAUUAGUUCUGUUUUACUAGAUUUAGAUUCUCCACAAGGUUGUUUGUUUGGGUGCAGGGAGGAACAUCCAGCAGUUUCCUUGAUUUGCUCACACAGAAAUGAGCAUCUACUCUUGAAUAUUUUCUGCAAGUCCUUUCCAAUAUCUCCAGAAGAUUUACCAGAAUAAUCAAUGUGGAACCACUCAAGUAAGAGGGAUGGAAAAGAUG